This 87-nucleotide transfer RNA is filed under the name Lujinxingia litoralis. RNAcentral describes it as "Bradymonadales bacterium B210 tRNA-Leu". It matches the Rfam family "tRNA". From Rfam's summary of the family: Transfer RNA (tRNA) molecules are approximately 80 nucleotides in length. Their secondary structure includes four short double-helical elements and three loops (D, anti-codon, and T loops). Lineage: Bacteria; Deltaproteobacteria; Bradymonadales; Lujinxingiaceae. The record is from RNAcentral.
GCGGAAGUGGCGGAAUUGGUAGACGCGCUGGCUUCAGGUGCCAGUGGUGGCAACACCGUGGAGGUUCGAGUCCUCUCUUCCGCAUCA